RNA transcript from Coccinella septempunctata (seven-spotted ladybird), 1140 nucleotides. RefSeq lists it as uncharacterized. The transcript is spliced from 2 exons. The record is from RefSeq and is a predicted model, not a curated record. Lineage: Eukaryota; Metazoa; Arthropoda; Insecta; Coleoptera; Coccinellidae.
GUGAUCAGUUGAAGAUUUUUCACGCCCAAAAAAUAUAGUGCUUUCAUUAAUUCUACUCCCUGUUAGAAAGGUGGAGUUAAAUGAACUGUUUAGUGAUUUAACGGUACAUUGUCACAGAGGAGUAUUUAUGGGAAAAAGCCGAUCAAAACUCGAUUUUCGAAACUUAAGGGUCGUUUAUACUGGCCCGUAACUUAUGCCCUUGACUUAUGCCCUUAACUUAUUCCUUUAACUUAAGUUGUCCGGUUUAUACUGGAUAACUUGUUCCCUUAACUUUAGUUGUCUUCAGAUGUCACAGAAAACUAAUAUGGAUGUUUACGCAAUCAUAGAAUCGGAGACAGGUUUAUUUUUCUAACCUUAUUCUUCUUUCAACCUUAAACUGAAAUCGAAGAAUUUUCCAACUAGAAUUCUAAACAUGGUUGUCUCUGUUUUUAUGAUUAUGAGACAUAUGUUCAAUAUGUUGUACACAGAUGGUAUGAACCCAUUAGCAAUAGUAUUGGUAGUUAAUGAGAAUGCUAUUCCUGCAGCAGCAGCAAUUCUCAUAUUGACUGCAGCUAGCAUCGAAGUAAAUCAAACUCAAAAGCGUCGAAAAAAGCGUCGUUGGAGCGUGAGGCCUUUGUUUCGUCAGAGGCAAAUUGGGGAACAUUUCACUAAUUUAUUCGGCAAUUUGAAAACCAUGGACCCUGAGCAAUUUUUCUCAUACUUAAGAAUGGACAGAAUUUGUUUUUAUAAACUGUUGCAGUUGGUAGGACACAGAUUAAUUAAGCGUGCUACCAGAAAGACUUUGAGCCCUGAGCAACGUUUAGUAAUCACAUUAUGGUAAGUCAGCUGAUGCGCAAUGCCCAUGGUAUAGCUAUAUUAUAUGUCUUGUUUUCCAGUUUCUUGGCCCAUGGGUGUAGCAUGCAAUCUGUGUCCUGGUCGUUCCUUGUUGGCAAGGCCACAGUGUCUGUAGUGGUGAGAGAAACAGGUCAAGCUAUUUGGGAUGUUCUCAGUCCAAUAUAUUUGAAGCGCCCGACUAUGCAAGAUUGGAAGACUAUUGCAAAUGAAUUCGAGGAGAAGUGGAAUCUACCACACUGUUGUGGUGCUAUUGAUGGAAAACAUAUUGUGAUGCAGGCACCAAAAAAUUCUAGAUCUAAAUUUUUU